CCUCGUCGGCCUGCUGCGGGCAGAUGAAGUGGAUGUGGGUGUCAAUCCCGCCGGCGGUGAUGAUCUUGCCCUCGCCGGCCACGACGUCGGUGCAGCUGCCAACGACCAUAUUGGGGGCGACGCCGUCCAUGACGUCCGGGUUGCCGGCCUUGCCGAUGCCGACAAUCAUGCCAUUCUUGACUCCGAUAUCCGCCUUGUAGAUGCCGGACCAGUCGACGACGAGGGCGUUGGUGACGACCAUGUCGAGGGACUCGGAGUCCGGGCGACCGGUGGCCUGGCCCAUGCCUUCUCUCAGG
This 296-nucleotide small RNA is filed under the name Colletotrichum orbiculare MAFF 240422. Its description in RNAcentral is "5' ureB small RNA". It matches the Rfam family "5' ureB small RNA". Lineage: Eukaryota; Fungi; Ascomycota; Sordariomycetes; Glomerellales; Glomerellaceae. The record is from Rfam by way of RNAcentral.